RNAcentral lists this ribosomal RNA (489 nucleotides) under uncultured organism. RNAcentral's name for it is "bacterial SSU rRNA". It matches the Rfam family "Bacterial small subunit ribosomal RNA", at positions 28 to 507 of the family's 1533-position model. The record is from RNAcentral.
GAUGAACGCUAGCGGCAGGCUUAACACAUGCAAGUCGAGGGGCAGCGGUCUGUAGCAAUACAGAAGUCGGCGACCGGCGGAAGGGUGCGUAACGCGUGAACAACAUGCCCGUCACAGGGAGAUAAUCCAUGGAAACGUGGUCUAAUAUCGCAUAGAUUGUACAGCAGACAUCUGUGGUACAAGAAAGCAGCGAUGCGGUGACGGAUUGGUUCGCGUAACAUUAGUCAGAUGGUGAGGUAACGGCCCACCAUAGCUACGAUGUUUAGGGGUCCUGAGAGGGAGGUCCCCCACACUGGAACUGAGACACGGUCCAGACUCCUACGGGAGGCAGCAGUGAGGAAUAUUGGACAAUGGAUGGAAAUCUGAUCCAGCCAUGCCGCGUGCGGGAAGAAGGUCCUAUGGAUUGUAAACCGCUUUUGUACGGGAGCAAUAAGAUCUACGAGUAGAUUGAUGAGAGUACUGUACGAAUAAGCAUCGGCUAACUCCGUG